Molecule: ribosomal RNA, 500 nt
Filed under: uncultured bacterium
Lineage: Bacteria
Description: partial 16S ribosomal RNA
Rfam family: Bacterial small subunit ribosomal RNA
Source: RNAcentral
AUUGAACGCUGGCGGCAUGCCUUACACAUGCAAGUCGAACGGUAACAGGGAGCUUGCUCCGCUGACGAGUGGCGAACGGGUGAGUAAUGUAUCGGAACGUACCUUUUAGUGGGGGAUAACGUAGCGAAAGUUACGCUAAUACCGCAUAUUCUCUGAGGAGGAAAGCAGGGGACCUUCGGGCCUUGCGCUAAUAGAGCGGCUGAUAUCAGAUUAACUAGUUGGUGAGGUAAAGGCUCACCAAGGCGACGAUCUGUAGCGGGUCUGAGAGGAUGAUCAGCCACAAUGGAGCUGAGACACGGUCCAGACUCCUACGGGAGGCAGCAGUGGGGAAUUUUGGACAAUGGGGGCAACCCUGAUCCAGCCAUGCCGCGUGAGUGAAGAAGGCCUUCGGGUUGUAAAGCUCUUUCGGCCGGGAAAAAAUCGCAUGGGUUAAUACCCUGUGUGGAUGAUGGUACCGGAAUAAGAAGCACCGGCUAACUACGUGCCAGCAGCCGCAGUAA